CAUGUACUCCCUCCGUCCGGAAAUACUUGUCCUAGAAAUAGAUGUAUCUAGACUUAUUUUAGUUAUAGAUACAUUCAUUUUAUCCAUUUUGGGGACAAGUAUUUUCGGACGGAGGGAGUAUCAA
Triticum aestivum (bread wheat) is the source of this 124-nucleotide non-coding RNA. Lineage: Eukaryota; Viridiplantae; Streptophyta; Magnoliopsida; Poales; Poaceae. The record is from Rfam.